Long non-coding RNA from Dreissena polymorpha, 422 nucleotides. RefSeq lists it as uncharacterized. The transcript has 3 exons. Lineage: Eukaryota; Metazoa; Mollusca; Bivalvia; Myida; Dreissenidae. The record is from RefSeq and is a predicted model, not a curated record.
CACGGAAUCACCGAGGCGGAGCUUGAUGACGUGUUGUCCUGCGAUGAUGACGUAUUAAAUGACGUCUACACCUACUGGACACCGCCCAUGCGCAGACUGCCCCCUCUACUUCUCGUGUGCAUACGGGCGGACAUCGACCAAUAUGUCGUUAAGCGCGGUGCAGACGGUGCGCGCGUGUUGAACUGGUACCACCGUCAGUUUACGGAAGCUGCGCACGAGCGCUACUGCGCAGAUUAUGCGCAGAAAAGCGUCUCCAUAGCAACCUAGCUGAUUUCUUCGCGGGAACCUGGGCCAAUGUGGAGGUAAUAGAAGAGAACCGCUAUGGGACGUCACAGCCCUUUCGCUUCAGAGAGGAUGACUACAACAAUCGGGCUAUCAACAAUCUGCCCUAUCUCCGCUUGCACGCGGGUCACGUUGACCUU